AGCGAACGCUGGCGGCAGGCCUAACACAUGCAAGUCGAACGGAUCCUUCGGGAUUAGUGGCGGACGGGUGAGUAACACGUGGGAACGUGCCCUUUGGUUCGGAACAACUCAGGGAAACUUGAGCUAAUACCGGGUGUGCCCUUCGGGGGAAAGAUUUAUCGCCAUUGGAGCGGCCCGCGUCUGAUUAGCUAGUUGGUGAGGUAAAGGCUCACCAAGGCGACGAUCAGUAGCUGGUCUGAGAGGAUGAUCAGCCACAUUGGGACUGAGACACGGCCCAAACUCCUACGGGAGGCAGCAGUGGGGAAUCUUGCGCAAUGGGCGAAAGCCUGACGCAGCCAUGCCGCGUGAAUGAUGAAGGUCUUAGGAUUGUAAAAUUCUUUCACCGGGGACGAUAAUGACGGUACCCGGAGAAGAAGCCCCGGCUAACUUCGUGCCAGCAGCCGCCGCCG
Molecule: ribosomal RNA, 449 nt
Filed under: uncultured bacterium
Lineage: Bacteria
Description: partial 16S ribosomal RNA
Rfam family: Bacterial small subunit ribosomal RNA
Source: RNAcentral